RNAcentral lists this ribosomal RNA (430 nucleotides) under uncultured bacterium. RNAcentral describes it as "partial 16S ribosomal RNA". It matches the Rfam family "Bacterial small subunit ribosomal RNA", at positions 354 to 796 of the family's 1533-position model. The record is from RNAcentral.
GUGGGGAAUAUUGCACAAUGGGCGAAAGCCUGAUGCAGCAACGCCGCGUGAGGGACGACGACCUUCGGGUUGUAAACCUCUUUUAGUAGGGAAGAAGCGAAAGUGACGGUACCUGCAGAAAAAGCACCGGCUAACUACGUGCCAGCAGCCGCGGUAAUACGUAGGGUGCAAGCGUUAUCCGGAAUUAUUGGGCGUAAAGAGCUCGUAGGCGGUCUGUCGCGUCUGCUGUGAAAACUGGAGGCUCAACCUCCAGCCUGCAGUGGGUACGGGCAGACUAGAGUGCGGUAGGGGAGAUUGGAAUUCCUGGUGUAGCGGUGGAAUGCGCAGAUAUCAGGAGGAACACCGAUGGCGAAGGCAGAUCUCUGGGCCGUAACUGACGCUGAGGAGCGAAAGCGUGGGGAGCAAACAGGAUUAGAUACCCCGGUAGUCC